AGUGAACGCUGGCGGUAGGCCUAACACAUGCAAGUCGAACGGCAGCACAGUAAGAGCUUGCUCUUACGGGUGGCGAGUGGCGGACGGGUGAGGAAUACAUCGGAAUCUACUUUUUCGUGGGGGGUAACGUAGAGAAACUUACGCUAAUACCGCAUACGACCUACGGGUGAAAGCAGGGGAUCUUCGGACCUUGCGCGAUUGAAUGAGCCGAUGUCGGAUUAGCUAGUUGGCGGGGUAAAGGCCCACCAAGGCGACGAUCCGUAGCUGGUCUGAGAGGAUGAUCAGCCACACUGGAACUGAGACACGGUCCAGACUCCUACGGGAGGCAGCAGUGGGGAAUAUUGGACAAUGGGCGCAAGCCUGAUCCAGCCAUACCGCGUGGGUGAAGAAGGCCUUCGGGUUGUAAAGCCCUUUUGUUGGGAAAGAAAAGCAGCAGGUUAAUACCCCGCUGUUAUGACGGUACCCAAAGAAUAAGCACCGGCUAACUUCGUG
RNAcentral lists this ribosomal RNA (492 nucleotides) under uncultured bacterium. RNAcentral's name for it is "partial 16S ribosomal RNA". It matches the Rfam family "Bacterial small subunit ribosomal RNA", at positions 29 to 507 of the family's 1533-position model. The record is from RNAcentral.